UACGAAGGGUGCAAGCGUUACUCGGAAUUACUGGGCGUAAAGCGUGCGUAGGUGGUUUGUUAAGUCUGAUGUGAAAGCCCUGGGCUCAACCUGGGAAUUGCAUUGGAUACUGGCAGGCUAGAGUGCGGUAGAGGAUGGCGGAAUUCCCGGUGUAGCAGUGAAAUGCGUAGAGAUCGGGAGGAACAUCUGUGGCGAAGGCGGCCACCUGGACGAUGACUGACGCUGAGACGCGAAAGCGUGGGGAGCAAACAGG
RNAcentral lists this ribosomal RNA (253 nucleotides) under uncultured bacterium. Its description in RNAcentral is "partial 16S ribosomal RNA". It matches the Rfam family "Bacterial small subunit ribosomal RNA", at positions 524 to 776 of the family's 1533-position model. The record is from RNAcentral.